AUGUGUUUGUGUGAUGUGGUUGACAUGGAUGCCAGCCAUGUUCUUCUUGGGAGGCCUUGGCAAUUUGAUGUGGAUACUACACACAAGGGCAAGGAAAAUUCUUACUCUUUCAUUUGGAACAAGAGAAAGAUCAUUAUCCUACCAAACAAAACCGAAGGUAAUACCUCUAAGGAGGAGGGGAAAACUAUGUUAACUAUCUCCCAUACCUCUCAUGAGUUUACGGAAGACUUGAAGGAGGCAGAUUUGUGUGCUGCACUUGUUGUAAAGGGAGAAGAGCACCUGACUGUUGAAAUUCCAACAAAGGUACAUGGUUUAUUGGCAAAAUUUCAGAACAUACUUGGGGAGCCACAUGGCUUGCCACCGAUGAGAGGAAUUCAACAUAGAAUUGACUUAAUUCUGGGAGCAAGUCUUCCUAAUCUUCCACACUAUCAAAUGAGCCCAAAGGAGAAUGAUAUAUUGAAGGAGAAAGUGGAGGAAUUGUUGCAAAAGGGGCACAUUCGAGAAAGUAUUAGCCCAUGUGCUAUACUAGCCCUACUCACGCCAAAGAAAGAUGGAUCUUAG
This 561-nucleotide ribosomal RNA is filed under the name Triticum aestivum (bread wheat). RNAcentral describes it as "partial small subunit ribosomal RNA". The record is from RNAcentral. Lineage: Eukaryota; Viridiplantae; Streptophyta; Magnoliopsida; Poales; Poaceae.